RNAcentral lists this ribosomal RNA (1503 nucleotides) under Promicromonospora sukumoe 327MFSha3.1. Its description in RNAcentral is "bacterial SSU rRNA". It matches the Rfam family "Bacterial small subunit ribosomal RNA". Lineage: Bacteria; Bacillati; Actinomycetota; Actinomycetes; Micrococcales; Promicromonosporaceae. The record is from RNAcentral.
AGAGUUUGAUCCUGGCUCAGGACGAACGCUGGUGGCGUGCUUAACACAUGCAAGUCGAACGGUGAAGCCCAGCUUGCUGGGUGGAUCAGUGGCGAACGGGUGAGUAACACGUGAGCAACCUGCCCUCCACUUCGGGAUAAGCCUUGGAAACGAGGUCUAAUACCGGAUACGAGCACCUGCCGCAUGGUGGGUGUUGGAAAGUUUUUCGGUGGGGGAUGGGCUCGCGGCCUAUCAGCUUGUUGGUGGGGUAAUGGCCUACCAAGGCGUCGACGGGUAGCCGGCCUGAGAGGGCGACCGGCCACACUGGGACUGAGACACGGCCCAGACUCCUACGGGAGGCAGCAGUGGGGAAUAUUGCACAAUGGGCGAAAGCCUGAUGCAGCGACGCCACGUGAGGGAUGACGGCCUUCGGGUUGUAAACCUCUUUCAGCAGGGAAGAAGCGCAAGUGACGGUACCUGCAGAAGAAGCGCCGGCUAACUACGUGCCAGCAGCCGCGGUAAUACGUAGGGCGCAAGCGUUGUCCGGAAUUAUUGGGCGUAAAGAGCUCGUAGGCGGUCUGUCGCGUCUGGUGUGAAAUCUCAUGGCUCAACUGUGAGCUUGCAUCGGGUACGGGCAGACUAGAGUGCUGUAGGGGAGACUGGAAUUCCUGGUGUAGCGGUGGAAUGCGCAGAUAUCAGGAGGAACACCGAUGGCGAAGGCAGGUCUCUGGGCAGUUACUGACGCUGAGGAGCGAAAGCAUGGGGAGCGAACAGGAUUAGAUACCCUGGUAGUCCAUGCCGUAAACGUUGGGCACUAGGUGUGGGGCCAGUUCCACUGGUUCUGUGCCGUAGCUAACGCAUUAAGUGCCCCGCCUGGGGAGUACGGCCGCAAGGCUAAAACUCAAAGGAAUUGACGGGGGCCCGCACAAGCGGCGGAGCAUGCGGAUUAAUUCGAUGCAACGCGAAGAACCUUACCAAGGCUUGACAUGUACGAGAAAGCCCCAGAGAUGGGGUUCUCUUUGGACACUCGUACACAGGUGGUGCAUGGUUGUCGUCAGCUCGUGUCGUGAGAUGUUGGGUUAAGUCCCGCAACGAGCGCAACCCUUGUCUCAUGUUGCCAGCGGGUUAUGCCGGGGACUCAUGGGAGACUGCCGGGGUCAACUCGGAGGAAGGUGGGGAUGACGUCAAAUCAUCAUGCCCCUUAUGUCUUGGGCUUCACGCAUGCUACAAUGGCCGGUACAGAGGGCUGCGAUACCGUGAGGUGGAGCGAAUCCCAAAAAGCCGGUCUCAGUUCGGAUCGGGGUCUGCAACUCGACCCCGUGAAGUCGGAGUCGCUAGUAAUCGCAGAUCAGCAACGCUGCGGUGAAUACGUUCCCGGGCCUUGUACACACCGCCCGUCAAGUCACGAAAGUUGGUAACACCCGAAGCUCACGGCCCAACCCCUUGUGGGAGGGAGUGGUCGAAGGUGGGACUGGCGAUUGGGACUAAGUCGUAACAAGGUAGCCGUACCGGAAGGUGCGGCUG